CAGUGAGGAAUAUUGGUCAAUAGCCUAACGGCUGAACCAGCAAUUUGGGGGAACGAAUAGCUUUAGCUAGUUAUACUUGGUAUUUUUUAUUUUUUAAUUUUUGUCAUUAUUAUCUAAUUAUGGAUAUGUUACAUGGACAAGUAUAGCAUCGAUUUUAUCGAAUAAAGUUCUAGGUAGAUGAUUGAUUAUGACAAUUUUCUAUCUAUAUGUCUUGACCAAACUACGUGCCAGCAGUCGCGGCAAUACGUAAAAGACUAGUGUUAUUCAUCUUUAAUAGGUUUAAAGGGUACCUAGACGGUAUAAUUAGUCCUAAACAGGAUACGGUUAUGACUAGAGUUAUAUAUGAGGAGGGGAGAAUUUAUGGAGUAGAGUUAAAAUUUUUUAAUACCAUAGAGACUGGUAACGGCGAAAGCGACCUUUUAUCUAAUAACUGACGUUGAGGGACGAAGGCUCGGGUAACGAAUAGGAUUAGAUACCCUAGUAGUCCAAGCAGACAAUUAUGAAUGCCAUAGAUUAGAUGUUUUUUAGUCUAUAAAUGAAAGUGUAAGCAUUUCACCUCAAGAGUAAUGUGGCAACGCAGGAACUGAAAUCAUUAGACCGUUUCUGAAACCAGUAGUGAAGUAUGUUAUUUAAUUCGUCAAUACGCGAAAAACCUUACCACAAUUUGAAUAUUAUUUUAUGAAAACAAUAUUAUUAAUAUAAUGUUAGUAGUUAAAUAUUACAAGCGUUGCACGGCUGUCUUCAGUUAAUGUCGUGAGAUAUUGGUUUAUUCCUUAAAAUUAACGGAAACCCUUGCUUUAUUUAUCUUUAUAAUAAAGCAGUACGCCCUUGAUUGGAUGCGGUAAUAGGGACCAAGACAAGUCAUCAUGGCCUAAAUAUUGUGGGCUAUAGACGUGCCACAUAAA
RNAcentral lists this ribosomal RNA (905 nucleotides) under Pleuroascus rectipilus. RNAcentral's name for it is "SSU rRNA". It matches the Rfam family "Bacterial small subunit ribosomal RNA", at positions 352 to 1233 of the family's 1533-position model. Lineage: Eukaryota; Fungi; Ascomycota; Leotiomycetes; Helotiales; Pleuroascaceae. The record is from RNAcentral.